Prochlorococcus marinus subsp. marinus str. CCMP1375 is the source of this 61-nucleotide non-coding RNA. NCBI's taxonomy places the organism in Bacteria, Bacillati, Cyanobacteriota, Cyanophyceae, Synechococcales, Prochlorococcaceae. The record is from Rfam.
AAACGUUCACCCUGAUACUUCAGGGCGCAGACCCAAUAAGGCCACGGAACGGGGACCUUAC